UUUUUUUCAUUCCGCCGCAGUCUCUUCUUCUUCUGUCUCCUAUUUCUGUCUGUUCUCUCAAAAUUUGAAUGAACGUCUUUGGCCGUCUUCUUCUUGUCAUGAUGCGAAGAUUCAAAUACUAUGUAAGCGUAACUUCUAAAGAAGUUUACGUCUACAAUGGUUUAUAUAGAACUACAACUAUGGUGGGAAGUGUUUUGAGCUGUAGGAUCCAACUCAGGCAAAACAUUUAUUUCAGAGAAUAAAGCGCUCGCUCAACUCAUGAAUCGAACCCCAAACAUAUCCCAACCUUCAACUCCAUCAGCUGCAUCGAUUGCUUGUUCAUCUGGACACCAAUGGUCAAAGAUUUGAUGGUGUAGGAAAAAGGGUUUCAGGUUGUGGCGGUGGUGAUGGUACAAAACCUUCAAGUUUUAUGGUAGGUGGAAUAAUUGUAUAAGAUGAAAUCAGAUUUUAGAACUAGUUAGAAGUUGUGUAAUAUGGAUUAAUGUAAUUGUAAACCAAUGAAAUAAAAUGUAAUUAGUUGAAUGUGUUCUU
Long non-coding RNA from Impatiens glandulifera, 531 nucleotides. RefSeq lists it as uncharacterized. The transcript has 2 exons. Lineage: Eukaryota; Viridiplantae; Streptophyta; Magnoliopsida; Ericales; Balsaminaceae. The record is from RefSeq and is a predicted model, not a curated record.